ACUUGCUGGCGAGGUUGUUGCGCGCGGUGAUGGUGCGCGGAUCGGCACUGCCGUGCGACUCGACGUGCUCGUGC
This 74-nucleotide transfer RNA is filed under the name Streptomonospora litoralis. Its description in RNAcentral is "Streptomonospora sp. M2 tRNA-Ile". Lineage: Bacteria; Bacillati; Actinomycetota; Actinomycetes; Streptosporangiales; Nocardiopsidaceae. The record is from RNAcentral.